Molecule: ribosomal RNA, 280 nt
Filed under: uncultured Nitrososphaerota archaeon
Lineage: Archaea; Thermoproteati; Nitrososphaerota
Description: uncultured thaumarchaeote partial 16S ribosomal RNA
Rfam family: Archaeal small subunit ribosomal RNA
Source: RNAcentral
UUACCGUUGUACAUCAGGUAACGAAGGAAAUCCCUUCCUCUAGUUUCUACCCUUAUUCUCAGGAAUAGUGGGUACAAUUUGGGGGCCCCCGGUGGUUAAUAAGAAGAAGGGUUGGUCGUCGGUAAGUCCAUUUUCCCCGAAUAUCCUGGGCUCCCCGCGGGCUUCAAAUGGUAAGACAAUUGGGUUUCACUUCGAAAAGGAAGAGCCAUUUUCUAAACCUUUCCUUAGUUAGGAUUGAGGGCUGAAACUCGCCCUCAUGAAUAUGGAAUCCUAGUAAUCG